Long non-coding RNA from Syngnathoides biaculeatus (alligator pipefish), 2054 nucleotides. RefSeq lists it as uncharacterized. The record is from RefSeq and is a predicted model, not a curated record. NCBI's taxonomy places the organism in Eukaryota, Metazoa, Chordata, Actinopteri, Syngnathiformes, Syngnathidae. The transcript is spliced from 3 exons.
GGAAGCCAGGAGCAUGACAGUUUGUGUGGCGAUAGAGCUGCUCUCCCAUUGGCUAGGAGGGAUGUCAAUCUUUACCCUUGAUGAACUUCCUGUAGCUCCGUCACUGAAUCCAUUGUCAAACGCUAGUGGACAUUUGUAAACGACUACAAGGAAGCCUUCGUAUUGCACGGCGCUUUGGCGGCAUUGUGAACACGAGAGGUUAUUGCGCAGACAGACGACAGCAUAGAAAUUGGUGGAAUGCAAUGACAAAGGAAACGGUGGGAAGGAAGUGGUUGGGUGAACCUUCGAUGAUUCGCAGCCAAUCAGCUCAUAAGGAAAAUCAGUAUUCGAACACCCCGACCAGCUCACCCACGACAAUUUGUCCAGAUGACAACACACUCCUCUGCUCGCAGACAUUUCCCAGUACUGUAGUGAAAUUUUCUUCAAAUUGAGCAACAUUAACCCCCGAUCAUGGCUCCAAAGAAGGCAAGUGGAACUGCUGGUGCUGAAAAAAGGAAAGUGGUGCAUAAAACUAACUAUCGACUUCAAGAAGGAUUUGAUAGCCGAACACGAAUCUGGUGUACGUUAUUAUCAGGAAAAGCUAAAAGAAAUCACUUAAAAACAACAAUUUUUAGGCUUGGAACGCAUCAUUUCAUUUUCCAUUCAUUGUAAUGAGAAAACGUGCUCCACUUUUAGAACAUUUUGUUUUUCAACCAGCCUUCUAGAACGGAUUGUGUUCGAGAACUGAGGCACCACUGGAUUUGACUUUAGCGCAUGGGUGGCCAAACUACGGCCUGCAGGUCGCAUCCAAUUUCAUUUCAAUACCCGAUCGUCCAAAGAUGGGUAUCGAAUCAUACCAAACCAAUGACCAUGUUCAUUGGACCUUCUCUGAAAUGCCAAACAGUUCCACCAGGUUGUGCUGUCUUGUCCACUGGUUCCACCAAGUGGUAGUUCAAGUGAUACAUUGAAUUGACUUUGGCUCUGCUUUAACUCUGAACACUUCAACCACUAGUAGUCGACCAAAGAUAGGAAAUGCUAACAGUGAAUGCUGAGCAGUGUUUCUGCCUUUAAUAGAAAGGGAGAAGAAUCACCCUAAUUAACCCGGAGGAGUUAUCAAAGAGUAGCUACUUAUAACCUAACAUUUCUCAGUAAAGCAAGACUGCAUGCUGAUGAUUUGAAGUCAAUUCAACCAUUCACAAAUAUUUUACAGGUCAGAAGACUUGCUAAUAUGUGAACAGGGGAAAAAACGCGAUUGGGAGUUGAAUUUAGUGAUGGUGCAAUGUCAUAAAAGUGUAAAGUAAUGCACAAUUUCACUAUGACCACACUAUUUGGAUUUGCCUUUUUAAAACAGUGUUUCUUUAAACAUCUUUAAUAUAAACUACAGUUUUAUUGGCGUAUUAAAUUUGCAAUGUGUUGUGGGUCAUCCCGACGUGCGCUGCCAUAAAUCGGUCAUUAACGUUGAGGACUGUCUCACUGAAGGAUUUGCAUUACUUAGCUUGAUUAAUAUUUACAAUGAGAAGAAAUAACUUUCAACCUCAUUGUAGCCUGUACUGUGAGCUGGUUUAAUGUUCUCCCCGCCUUCCAUCACCCAGAGUGACUGAACUGCACGAGUAAUCUUGUCAAAUAUUCUUGCUUUGUACAUCAAAAUUACCUUGGUGGGAGAAAUGGUAUGUGUGUAUAUAUGCCCCCAGUAUCAAACCCCCACUUACUUUCACAUUGUCAUACACGCACGGAAAAAUAUGUGUACACAGUUCCCACCAUUGAGCACGAUCGGCAUUCUGCUGUCUAUCUUAAAUCAAGAGUCUUUAGAGAACUGCAUUGUGAACAGUGCACUUGUUUGUGUUUAGGUACUUACUGUACUGUGUCAUCGCGUCAAUUCAGCACUAAAUUGCUGAUUUAACACUAAUAUUUAAGUUAUUGGUUCAUGUUGAUAUAACUAUAACCUGUGUGGUGUACAUUACCAAAUAAUAAGUACAGUUAACCUAAUGCUUGUUUUUUUAUACAGUGGAUCAGUGAUAUUCCUGCCAUUUGGCAGCUGCUGCACUGAGAAUUGCCACAACAAAACCAGAAUUUGA